RNAcentral lists this ribosomal RNA (484 nucleotides) under uncultured bacterium. RNAcentral describes it as "partial 16S ribosomal RNA". It matches the Rfam family "Bacterial small subunit ribosomal RNA", at positions 30 to 507 of the family's 1533-position model. The record is from RNAcentral.
AUUGAACGCUGGCGGCAGGCCUAACACAUGCAAGUCGAGCGGAUGAAGGGAGCUUGCUCCUGGAUUCAGCGGCGGACGGGUGAGUAAUGCCUAGGAAUCUGCCUGGUAGUGGGGGAUAACGUCCGGAAACGGGCGCUAAUACCGCAUACGUCCUGAGGGAGAAAGUGGGGGAUCUUCGGACCUCACGCUAUCAGAUGAGCCUAGGUCGGAUUAGCUAGUUGGUGGGGUAAAGGCCUACCAAGGCGACGAUCCGUAACUGGUCUGAGAGGAUGAUCAGUCACACUGGAACUGAGAAACGGGCCAGACUCCUAAGGGAGGCAGCAGUGGGGAAUAUUGGACAAUGGGCGAAAGCCUGAUCCAGCCAUGCCGCGUGUGUGAAGAAGGUCUUCGGAUUGUAAAGCACUUUAAGUUGGGAGGAAGGGCAGUAAGUUAAUACCUUGCUGUUUUGACGUUACCAACAGAAUAAGCACCGGCUAACUUCGUG